Molecule: ribosomal RNA, 329 nt
Filed under: uncultured beta proteobacterium
Lineage: Bacteria; Pseudomonadati; Pseudomonadota; Betaproteobacteria
Description: bacterial SSU rRNA
Rfam family: Bacterial small subunit ribosomal RNA
Source: RNAcentral
AGAGUUUGAUCCUGGCUCAGAUUGAACGCGGGCGGUAUGCUUCACACACACAAGUAGAGCCAGCUCGGGGUUUUGUUUCCAGGUUAGUGGCGAACGGGUGAGUAAUAUAUCGGAACAUAUCCAGAAGAGGGGGAUAACGCAGCGAAAGCUGCGCUAAUACCGCAUACGCCCUGAGGGGGAAAGCAGGGGAUCUCAAGACCUCUCGCUUAUUGGAGCGGCCGAUAGCUCGUGAUUAGCUAGAUAGGUGAGGUAAAGGCUCACCAUAGGCGGACUGAUCCAGUAGCCGUGGUCUGAGAGGACUGAUCCAGCCACACUGAACUGAGACACGC